RNAcentral lists this long non-coding RNA (961 nucleotides) under Terrapene triunguis (Three-toed box turtle). RNAcentral's name for it is "Terrapene carolina triunguis (Three-toed box turtle) lncRNA (ENSTMTG00000009596.1)". The record is from RNAcentral. Lineage: Eukaryota; Metazoa; Chordata; Testudines; Emydidae.
GAAAACUUAGCCUACCUAGUGGAGACACUGCUUCCCCCCACCCCCGUCCCCCCAAUAGCACUGGCUAAUAUUAACUAUAGAUCUCUAACAUAAUCUCUGAGAAUGUCAGUAGUCACCCAUAUUUUAUUAUGUGUCAUCAACCAUAUCUCUGGAUUGUUUUCCUUAGUCUCUCCUCCUCCACCACUUCAUCCCUUGUAAGUGAUACGACAGCCACACAGGGUGCAGAAGGCAGCCACUUGAGUCUAAACAAGGAAGAUGUAAACAAUGGAGAGUCUUCAGCAACAGUAGAAGGGGAAGGGACAACCAACGAGAAGGAUGUGCAACCCUCUGACACCAAAAAAUCAGCCUCUGGCUUCUCCAGAAUCAUAGCUGAACAUACAUGCUCACCAAUACUGGCAUCUGCUCAUGAAAAUGGCUGUGUCUGUCUAUGGACUAUUGGGGUAACGUAUUUGACUGUAUUUUUGGAUGGGGUUGGGGGUGAAAGAAGAAAAUGCUCCACAUAUUCAGCAUCCUGCUCUCACCUAACAUAUGAAGUUAUAGGAGUUUUUUUUCCACUGAUCAUUAUUUCUAUUAACACAAUUUAGUGCUGCUUUAACAGCUGUAGCAAAGGGGAAGGGGAACAGGAGGAAAAUCAUGACUUAGAAUAAUUGUAGUGACAACAGUCUGAAAAGGUAUGUAACUCCCUUGGGGUCCAUCCUUUAUCCACCUCCUCUGCCUUUUGAGACACUGUGAUGGGCAAAGCAGAGUCUGCUGCUCCACUUAUCAGAGGAAAUCUGCUCUGUUAACUGACUCUUUCUUUGAAAAAUAAUGUAGCAAUAAUGGGCUGUGUACCUGUAUAAAUGAGUAGAGGGUCAGGUAUGACUUGCAUGUUGUGCAAUCCGGUUGACGUCAAUAUGGGUUACAAGACGGAAGAGUUUGCUUCUAGGUGGCUAAAUUAAGACAUAUUAUUAAAAGGUUUUAG